AAGUCGUAACAAGGUCUCCGUAGGUGAGUAAAGAAAACCUCCCCCUUCUCCUCCUUUGGCAUUUGCUAACUAUUCUUUUCUAGGUGAACCUGCGGAGGGAUCAUUACCGAGUUGUAGGGCCUUUCGAGGCCCGAACCUCCCAACCCUGUGUUUACUUGACCAUCGUUGCUUCGGCGAGCCCGUCUUGAUUGACCGCCGGGGGGCUGUAAAAUGUCCUCUGGCCCGUGCUCGUCGGCAGCCAACCCCUAAAUUCUUAACCAAACGUGUUUAUUAUCUGAGUACCAUAUUUUAAUUAAAGCAAAA
This 303-nucleotide unclassified non-coding RNA is filed under the name plant metagenome. Its description in RNAcentral is "partial contains small subunit ribosomal RNA and internal transcribed spacer 1". The record is from RNAcentral.